RNAcentral lists this ribosomal RNA (916 nucleotides) under uncultured eukaryote. Its description in RNAcentral is "bacterial SSU rRNA". It matches the Rfam family "Bacterial small subunit ribosomal RNA", at positions 247 to 1188 of the family's 1533-position model. The record is from RNAcentral.
UGUUGGUAAGGUAAAGGCUUACCAAGGCCACGAUCAGUAGCUGGUUUGAGAGAACGAUCAGCCACACUGGGACUGAGACACGGCCCAGACUCCUCCGGGAGGCAGCAGUGAGGAAUUUUCCGCAAUGGGCGAAAGCCUGACGGAGCAAUACCGCGUGAGGGAUGAAGGAUUUUGGUCUGUAAACCUCUUUUCUCAAGAAAGAAGUUCUGACGGUACUUGAGGAAUAAGCAUCGGCUAACUCCGUGCCAGCAGCCGCGGUAAUACGGGGGAUGCAAGCGUUAUCCGGAAUCAUUGGGCGUAAAGCGCCUGUAGGUUGUUUAAUAAGUCUGUUGUUAAAGACUGGGGCUUAACCCCAGGAAAGCAAUGGAAACUACUAGACUAGAGUAUGGUAGGGGUAAAGGGAAUUUCUAGUGUAGCGGUGAAAUGCGUAGAUAUUAGAAAGAACACCGGUGGCGAAAGCGCUUUACUGGACCAUUACUGACACUCAGAGGCGAAAGCUAGGGUAGCCAAAGGGAUUAGAUACCCCUGUAGUCCUAGCCGUAAACGAUGGAUACUAGAUGUUGCGCUUAUUGUGCAGUGUCGUAGCUAACGCGUUAAGUAUCCCGCCUGGGGAGUACGAUCGCAAGGUUGAAACUCAAAGGAAUUGACGGGGGCCCGCACAAGCGGUGGAGCAUGUGGUUUAAUUCGAUGCAACGCGAAGAACCUUACCAGGGCUUGACAUACUGCAAAUUUUCUUGAAAGAGAAAAGUGCCUUCGGGAAUGCAGAUACAGGUGGUGCAUGGCUGUCGUCAGCUCGUGUCGUGAGAUGUUGGGUUAAGUCCCGCAACGAGCGCAACCCUCGUUUUUAGUUGCCAUUUUAUGGGUUCUCUAGAAAGACUGCCGGUGACAAACCGGAGGAAGGUGGGGAUGACGUCAA